This 253-nucleotide ribosomal RNA is filed under the name uncultured bacterium. RNAcentral describes it as "partial 16S ribosomal RNA". It matches the Rfam family "Bacterial small subunit ribosomal RNA", at positions 524 to 776 of the family's 1533-position model. The record is from RNAcentral.
UACAGGGGGGGCAAGCGUUGUUCGGAAUUACUGGGCGUAAAGGGCUCGUAGGCGGCCAACUAAGUCCGACGUGAAAUCCCAAAGCUUAACUUUGGAACUGCGUCGGAUACUGGAUGGCUUGAAUUCGGGAGAGGGAUGCAGAAUUCCUGGUGUAGCGGUGAAAUGCGCAGAUAUCAGGAGGAACACCGAUGGCGAAGGCAGGUCUCUGGACAUUAACUGACGCUGAGGAGCAAAAGCAUGGGGAGCGAACAGG